CCUACGGGAGACUGCAGUCGAGAAUCAUUCACAAUGGGGGAAACCCUGAUGGUGCGACGCCGCGUGGGGGAAUGAAGGUCUUCGGAUUGUAAACCCCUGUCAUGUGGGAGCAAAUUAAAAAGAUAGUACCACAAGAGGAAGAGACGACUAACUCUGUGCCAGCAGCCGCGGUAAUACAGAGGUCUCAAGCGUUGUUCGGAAUCACUGGGCGUAAGGCGUGCGUAGGCUGUUUCGUAAGUCGUGUGUGAAAGGCGCGGGCUCAACCCGAGGACGGCACAUGAUACUGCGAGACUAGAGUAAUGGAGGGGGAACCGGAAUUCUCGGUGUAGCAGUGAAAUGCGUAGAUAUCGAGAGGAACACUCGUGGCGAAGGCGGGUUCCUGGACAUUAACUGACGCUGAGGCACGAAGGCCAGGGGAGCGAAAGGGAUUAGAUACCCGAGUAGUC
Molecule: ribosomal RNA, 446 nt
Filed under: uncultured bacterium
Lineage: Bacteria
Description: partial 16S ribosomal RNA
Rfam family: Bacterial small subunit ribosomal RNA
Source: RNAcentral